GAGGUCUAGAAACUCGACAUCAAUGAUGAAGCGAUCAUGAAAGGUGGAAUCAACAGGCCAGACAAAGUCAUCGCUUGUUCGCAGCAAUCUUUCGUGAACAGUAGAGAUAUAGGGCGCGCGGUUAGCUCGAGCAUUAAAAACACGAAGAAUAAAUGUAGCAAUAGGAGGUUGCUCUAUGGAAACUCGAGAUGGCUCUGGAAACAAAC
Molecule: unclassified non-coding RNA, 206 nt
Filed under: Hevea brasiliensis (rubber tree)
Lineage: Eukaryota; Viridiplantae; Streptophyta; Magnoliopsida; Malpighiales; Euphorbiaceae
Source: RNAcentral